Molecule: non-coding RNA, 26 nt
Filed under: Rattus norvegicus (Norway rat)
Lineage: Eukaryota; Metazoa; Chordata; Mammalia; Rodentia; Muridae
Source: RNAcentral
UGCUAUGUCAGAAGCAUAAGCGUGUU